RNAcentral lists this ribosomal RNA (631 nucleotides) under uncultured bacterium. RNAcentral's name for it is "bacterial SSU rRNA". It matches the Rfam family "Bacterial small subunit ribosomal RNA", at positions 56 to 731 of the family's 1533-position model. The record is from RNAcentral.
UGCAAGUCGGGCGGGCACUUUCGGGUGUCAGCGGCGGACGGGUGAGUAACGCGUGGGAACGUGCCCUCUGGUUCGGAAUAACUCAGGGAAACUUGAGCUAAUACCGGAUACGCCCUUUUGGGGAAAGGCUUGCUGCCGGAGGAUCGGCCCGCGUCUGAUUAGCUAGUUGGUGAGGUAACGGCUCACCAAGGCGACGAUCAGUAGCUGGUCUGAGAGGAUGAUCAGCCACACUGGGACUGAGACACGGCCCAGACUCCUACGGGAGGCAGCAGUGGGGAAUAUUGGACAAUGGGCGCAAGCCUGAUCCAGCCAUGCCGCGUGAGUGAUGAAGGCCUUAGGGUUGUAAAGCUCUUUUAUCCGGGACGAUAAUGACGGUACCGGAGGAAUAAGCCCCGGCUAACUUCGUGCCAGCAGCCGCGGUAAUACGAAGGGGGCUAGCGUUGCUCGGAAUCACUGGGCGUAAAGGGCGCGUAGGCGGCGUUUUAAGUCGGGGGUGAAAGCCUGUGGCUCAACCACAGAAUGGCCUUCGAUACUGGGACGCUUGAGUAUGGUAGAGGUUGGUGGAACUGCGAGUGUAGAGGUGAAAUUCGUAGAUAUUCGCAAGAACACCGGUGGCGAAGGCGGCCAACUG